UAAUUCCACAUGGGUUUUGAUAGGGAC
RNAcentral lists this non-coding RNA (27 nucleotides) under Homo sapiens (human). Lineage: Eukaryota; Metazoa; Chordata; Mammalia; Primates; Hominidae. The record is from RNAcentral.